AUGGGAACCGUUUCCUCGCACAAUUUAGAAAGCCUUUCUCUUGAAGAUUCAUUUUCUAUAUUUUUCAAAUGGGCCUUUAAAGAAGGAGAAGCAAGGAGGUAUCCUCAUUUGGUAAAUAUUGGAAGGGAAAUUGUGAAAAAAUGUGGUGGGAUUCCCUUGGCAGUGAGAACAGUAGGGAGUUUACUUUUUUCAAAAUGUGAAACAAUUCAGUAUUGGGGAAACAUGAAAGACAACGAAAUUUGA
This is a non-coding RNA of Vicia faba (fava bean), 243 nucleotides long. NCBI's taxonomy places the organism in Eukaryota, Viridiplantae, Streptophyta, Magnoliopsida, Fabales, Fabaceae. The record is from the annotation of a GenBank genome assembly.